CAAGAUGUGGUACCAUAUAUACAAUGGAUAUUACUCAGCCAUUAAAAGGAAAGAAAUAACGGUAUUUGCAGCAACAUGGAUGGACCUAGAAAUUGUCAUGCUAAGUCAGACAGUGAGAUACCAACAUCAUAUGCUAUCAUUGACAUGUGGAAUCUUAAAAAAGGACACAAUGAACUUCUUUGCAGAACAGAUACUGACUCACAGACUUUGAAAAACUUAUGGCUUCCAAAUGAGACAGGUUAGGGGUGGGGGGAUGUGCUGAGGGUUUGGGAUGGAAAUGCUACAAAAUUGGCUGUGAUGAUUGUUGUACAACUAAAUGUAUUAAAAUUCAUUGAGUAAUUUAAAAAAGACAACCAUUAGAAAUAUGAAAAAAUUACCAUAAAAUGUUUAGUAUGAAAGAAAAUACAAUUCCUUAAGCAUCAAUGUGUUUCAAUGAUUAAACAUUAAGAGAGCAAAAUAAUUACAUUGGGUGAACUAGUAUCUAUAUCCAUCUUUCUAUUUGUACCACAUCUCUAUGUUUCUAUAAACCUUUUCAAUUCCACCUCCUUACUAAGCAUCUAUGAAAGAACUGGCCAUAUACCAGGCCUUGAGGAAAACUAAUAAAUUUCGAAAAGCAGAAAUUGCAGGGUUCAUAUUUCUGAUCACAAAGCAAAUAAUAACAGUAAUGAUUAUAAAUGCUUAAAAUACCCACUUCCUUGGAAAUUAAAACAAAAACUGUAAUAAGUUUUUGAGUCAAAGAGGAAAUCAGUACCAUAAUUACAGGCCAUUUAAAAAUUCAUGGCAGUGCAACAAUGCCUAUCAACUUGGAUGGAAUGUGGUUAAAGCAGAAGUGAGAGUUUAAAUGUGCACUUGUGCAUACUUACAUUUUUAAACAAGAAAGACUGUAAAUAAACAAACUUGCGUUUCAACUCAAGAAGUGUUCAAAUGCUCAACUCAGGAAAUCAGAACGUUCCCUUCUGGGCAAGGAGGCUUGGGGGGAGGUUUGGACUAGAAUUUACCUGCUUUCCCUAAUUGGUCUGUUGUGUCUGCAAAGGUGAGGAUGGAGCGUCACAGGUUGUCUAUAUAAAACCCUGUCCUUUAUGUUUGCCCAGCAAAACCCUAGCUUCCCCCCUACUUCUCCAUUCCAGUGGAGCUUUAUUUUGCCUUCCUUUCCUGCAUAUAUUCAUGUGUGACCUUCCCAUCUAGGGUGUGGUUAUUCGGAGGGGGCUCUCAGUCUGACUACUUGCCCAGUGUGAAUAUGCUCGCAUGCUGCAACAGCCUAGGAUUACAAUUAAGAGCAGAUGCCAACUCUUGGCCCAAUCAAUUCAAGAGGCACAUCUAGCCGAUGAGCCUUUUUUUUUAAUUGCUUUUUUAGGGCCUCACCACCGGCAUAUGGAGGUUUCCAGGCUAGGGGUCAAAUUGGAGCUACAGCUGCCAGCCUAGGCCACAGCCAUAGCAACACAGGAUAGGAGUCGCGUCCACGACCAACACCGCAGCUCAGCAGCUCACAGCAACACUGGAUCCUUAACCUGCUGAGCGAGGCCAGAGAUCAAACCCGCAACCUCAUAGUUCCUAGUUGGAUUCAUUUCUGCUGCGCCACAACGGGAACUCCUAGCCAAAGAGCCUUUAAGCUGACAGAUGGAUUUAAAGUUCAGGAGUUCCCAUCGUGGCUCAGCGGAAACGAAUCUGAUUAGCAUCCAUGAGGACGCAGGUCCAAUCCCUGGCCUCAUUCAGUGGGUUAAGGAUCUGGUGUUGCCGUGAGCUGUGGUGUAGGUUGCAGACAAGGCUUGGACCUAACAUUGCUGUGGCUAUGGUGUAGGCUAGAGGCUUCAGCUCCAAUUCGACCCCUAGCCUGGUAACCUCCAUAUGUUGCAGGCGUGACCUUAAAAAGACAAAUAAUAAUAAUAAUAGAGUUCAGUCAAGUGACUGAAUAAAAGACAAACAAAAAGUAGAUAUAUUUACCACAUUCUAUCAAUAUGCUUAAAGAUAUAGGGAGAAAAAUCGUAUUCAGGAAAGUUGCAAAAAUGAAACAAGACAGAAUAGAACAAAGAAAAACAUAGUAAUAAAUAUAAUAAACAAAAGGCCUCUACGCAGGGAAAUAUAAAACCUUACUCAGAAAAACAUGAACAAAAGAAUGGAGAGAGAGAAGAUAUUCCUUGAUUAGAAGACUAUUUAUUUUUAUCUUUUUUUUGGUGGGUGGGGGGCUGCACCUGUGGCAUAGGGAGGUUCCCAGGCUGGGGGUCAAAUCAGAGCUACAGCUGCUGGCCUACACCACAGCCACAGCAACUUGGGAUCUGAGCCAUGUCUGCAAACUACACUAUAGCUCAUGGCAACGCCGGGUCCUUAACCCACUGAGAGAGGCCAGGGAUCGAACCCGCAACCUCAUGGUUCCUAGUUGGAUUCGUUUCUGCUGCGCCACGACAGGAAUUCCAAGAAGACUAUGUAUUUUUAAAAUGUAAAUUGUUCUUAAGGCAUAUUUAAACAAAAUCCAAGAAAAAUAAAAUGGGUUUU
Molecule: long non-coding RNA, 2490 nt
Filed under: Sus scrofa (pig)
Lineage: Eukaryota; Metazoa; Chordata; Mammalia; Artiodactyla; Suidae
Description: lncRNA (ENSSSCG00005011413.1)
Source: RNAcentral